RNAcentral lists this long non-coding RNA (348 nucleotides) under Ursus maritimus (polar bear). Its description in RNAcentral is "lncRNA (ENSUMAG00000011945.1)". The record is from RNAcentral. Lineage: Eukaryota; Metazoa; Chordata; Mammalia; Carnivora; Ursidae.
AUUUGGUACCAAGAGAAAACACUGGAGAUACAGUGCUGAGUGAAGAAAAAAGUAGAAGGGCAAAAACUAGCCCUGGAUCCCUAGGAAUUAACCAACUGAAGCAAAUAACAUGGGAAAAUGUUGGAGAUCGAAGCAGAGUGAAGGAAGAGCAGAGCUACAAAGCCUUGGUAGAAUGGAAGUGGAAUUCUUGAAAACACGGUUGAUAAGGAAAACAAGAGGAUUCAGGACACCCUGUUUUGAAAACCCUUGUCUGCUUGUGUGACAUUACUUGUGAUUUCACUGCACUUUAUACAUGGCUAAUGUAUCUGGCAAUUUUGUAAGUAGGAAUGCUUAAUUCUAAGAAAUGCC